CCUUCGGGUGGCAGCAGUGAGGAAUAUUGGUCAAUGGGCGGGAGCCUGAACCAGCCAAGUCGCGUGAGGGACGACGGUCCUAUGGAUUGUAAACCUCUUUUGUCGGGGAACAAAGGCGCCCACGGGUGGGCGGAUGAGUGUACCCGAAGAAAAAGCAUCGGCUAACUCCGUGCCAGCAGCCGCGGUAAUACGGAGGAUGCGAGCGUUAUCCGGAUUUAUUGGGUUUAAAGGGUGCGUAGGCGGAAUAUCAAGUCAGCGGUAAAAAUUCGGGGCUCAACCCCGUCGUGCCGUUGAAACUGAUGUUCUUGAGUGGGCGAGAAGUAUGCGGAAUGCGUGGUGUAGCGGUGAAAUGCAUAGAUAUCACGCAGAACUCCGAUUGCGAAGGCAGCAUACCGGCGCCCAACUGACGCUGAAGCACGAAAGCGUGGGUAUCGAACAGGAUUAGAUACCCGGGUAGUC
This 459-nucleotide ribosomal RNA is filed under the name uncultured bacterium. Its description in RNAcentral is "partial 16S ribosomal RNA". It matches the Rfam family "Bacterial small subunit ribosomal RNA", at positions 338 to 795 of the family's 1533-position model. The record is from RNAcentral.